Molecule: ribosomal RNA, 395 nt
Filed under: uncultured bacterium
Lineage: Bacteria
Description: partial 16S ribosomal RNA
Rfam family: Bacterial small subunit ribosomal RNA
Source: RNAcentral
GUACGUAGGGUGCAAGCGUUAAUCGGAAUUACUGGGUGUAAAGCGUGCGCAGGCGGUUUUGUAAGAACGAGGUGAAAUCCCCGGGCUCAACCGGGGAACUGCCUUUGUGACUGCAAGGCUCGAGUGCGGCAGAGGGGGAUGGAAUUCCGCGGGUAGCGGUGAAAUGCGUAGAUAUGCGGAGGAACACCGAUGGCGAAGGCAAUCCCCUGGGCCUGUACUGACGCUCAUGCACGAAAGCGUGGGGAGCAAACAGGAUUAGAUACCCUGGUAGUCCACGCCCUAAACGAUGUCAACUGGUUGUUGGGUCUUCAUUGACUCAGUAACGAAGCUAACGCGUGAAGUUGACCGCCUGGGGAGUACGGCCGCAAGGUUGAAACUCAAAUGAAUUGACGGGG